UGGGGAAUAUUGGACAAUGGGCGGAAGCCUGAUCCAGCCAUGCCGCGUGUGUGAAGAAGGCCUUUUGGUUGUAAAGCACUUUAAGCGAGGAGGAGGCUCUUCUAGUUAAUACCUAGGAUGAGUGGACGUUACUCGCAGAAUAAGCACCGGCUAACUCUGUGCCAGCAGCCGCGGUAAUACAGAGGGUGCGAGCGUUAAUCGGAUUUACUGGGCGUAAAGCGUGCGUAGGCGGCUGAUUAAGUCGGAUGUGAAAUCCCUGGGCUUAACUUAGGAAUUGCAUUCGAAACUGGUCGGCUAGAGGAUGGGAGAGGAUGGUAGAAUUCCGGGUGUAGCGGUGAAAUGCGUAGAGAUCUGGAGGAAUACCGAUGGCGAAGGCAGCCAUCUGGCAUAAUACUGACGCUGAGGUACGAAAGCAUGGGGAGCAAACAGG
Molecule: ribosomal RNA, 430 nt
Filed under: Pseudomonadota bacterium
Lineage: Bacteria; Pseudomonadati; Pseudomonadota
Description: Proteobacteria bacterium partial 16S ribosomal RNA
Rfam family: Bacterial small subunit ribosomal RNA
Source: RNAcentral